RNAcentral lists this long non-coding RNA (238 nucleotides) under Zonotrichia albicollis (white-throated sparrow). RNAcentral's name for it is "lncRNA (ENSZALG00000013309.1)". Lineage: Eukaryota; Metazoa; Chordata; Aves; Passeriformes; Passerellidae. The record is from RNAcentral.
AUGGAAUCAAUGGAAACACCCAAAAUUAAUAACUGCAGGGAAGUGGGCCCAGCCUGGGACACUGCACACAGGAUGGAAGCCAAAGACUGCUUUACAGGGUUUCAGUCCAGGGACUGUGCUGGCCAUUCACUACCAGGGUCAAAUGCUGACCAUGUCCAUGGAGUCUUGCAGCCUCUGAGGCUGCCUGAGCAUGAUCUUCAAUAGCAUCAGCAAACUGUGUGAGCUCCUCCCAGAGCAG